RNAcentral lists this ribosomal RNA (460 nucleotides) under uncultured bacterium. Its description in RNAcentral is "partial 16S ribosomal RNA". It matches the Rfam family "Bacterial small subunit ribosomal RNA", at positions 338 to 795 of the family's 1533-position model. The record is from RNAcentral.
CCUACGGGAGGCAGCAGUGAGGAAUAUUGGUCAAUGGGCGCGAGCCUGAACCAGCCAAGUAGCGUGAAGGAUGACUGCCCUACGGGUUGUAACCUUCUUUUAUAAAGGAAUAAAGUGAGGCACGUGUGCCUUUUUGUAUGUACUUUAUGAAUAAGGAUCGGCUAACUCCGUGCCAGCAGCCGCGGUAAUACGGAGGAUUCGAGCGUUAUCCGGAUUUAUUGGGUUUAAAGGGUGCGUAGGUGGUUUGUUAAGUCAGUUGUGAAAGUUUGCGGCUCAACCCUAAAAUUGCAAUUGAUACUGGCAGUCUUGAGUACAGUUGAGGUAGGCGGAAUGUGUGGUGUAGCGGUGAAAUGCUUAGAUAUCACGAAGAACUCCGAUUGCGAAGGCAGCUUACUAAACUGCCACUGACGUUGAUGCUCGAAAGUGUGGGUAGCAAACAGGAUUAGAUACCCUUGUAGUC